AUUAUACUCCCUCCGUCCAAAAAAACUUGUCCCAAACUUAUCCCUCAAAUGGAUGUAUCUAGCACUAAUUUGAUGCUAGAUACAUUCAUUUGAGGGACAAGUUUUUUUGGACAGAGGGAGUACCAU
Triticum aestivum (bread wheat) is the source of this 126-nucleotide non-coding RNA. Lineage: Eukaryota; Viridiplantae; Streptophyta; Magnoliopsida; Poales; Poaceae. The record is from Rfam.